CAGUCGCCGCGGUAAUACAGAGUGUGCGAGCGUUAAUCGGAUUUACUGGGCGUAAAGCGUGCGUAGGCGGCUUCUUAAGUCGGAUGUGAAAUCCCUGAGCUUAACUUAGGAAUUGCAUUCGAUACUGGGAAGCUAGAGUAUGGGAGAGGAUGGUAGAAUUCCAGGUGUAGCGGUGAAAUGCGUAGAGAUCUGGAGGAAUACCGAUGGCGAAGGCAGCCAUCUGGCCUAAUACUGACGCUGAGGUACGAAAGCAUGGGGAGCAAACAGGAUUAGAUACCCGCGUAGUCCCUGUCUCUUAUAC
Molecule: ribosomal RNA, 301 nt
Filed under: uncultured bacterium
Lineage: Bacteria
Description: partial 16S ribosomal RNA
Rfam family: Bacterial small subunit ribosomal RNA
Source: RNAcentral